This is a long non-coding RNA of Eurytemora carolleeae, 147 nucleotides long. RefSeq lists it as uncharacterized. NCBI's taxonomy places the organism in Eukaryota, Metazoa, Arthropoda, Copepoda, Calanoida, Temoridae. The record is from RefSeq and is a predicted model, not a curated record. The transcript has 2 exons.
UGUUCUUUCUUAAAGGGAUCAUUCAAAAGUUUCAAAUUUAGAUAUAGCAAUUUUGUAACACUGUCCUAACUGUUGUGCCUAAAUGUGCUUUAAAACCUGCCUAAAUGUGAUAAGAUUAUACACUGGAAUAAAUGUGCUUUAAAAUAA